CCAGCGAUCCGCCUGAGUUCCUUAAAUGACUCGGCGGGCAGCUUCCGGGAAACCAAAGUUUUUCGGUUCCGGGGGAAGUAUGGUUGCAAAGCUGAAACUUAAAGGAAUUGACGGAAGGGCACCACCAGGAGUGGAGCCUGCGGCUUAAUUUGACUCAACACGGGAAAACUUACCCGGCCCGGACACUGGCAGGAUUGACAGAUUGAGAGCUCUUUCUUGAUUCAGUGGGUGGUGGUGCAUGGCCGUUCUUAGUUGGUGGAGCGAUUUGUCUGGUUAACUCCGAUAACGAACGAGACUCUAGCCUACUAAAUAGGCCACCGGCUUACUGACGUCGGUGGGACUUCUUAGAGGGACAGGCGGCGAUUCAGCCGCACGAAACAGAGCAAUAACAGGUCUGUGAUGCCCUUAGAUGUCCGGGGCCGCACGCGCGCUACACUGAAGUGAUCAGCGUGCAUUACAAACCUGCUCCGUCAGGAGUGGGGAACCCAAUGAACCUUCUUCGUGAUUGGGAUAGGGGAUUGUAAUUAUUCCCCUUGAACGAGGAAUUCCCAGUAAGCGCGAGUCAUAAGCUCGCGUUGAUUACGUCCCUGCCCUUUGUACACACCGCCCGUCGCUACUACCGAUUGAAUGAUUUAGUGAGGUCUUCGGACUGGCCGGCGCAGCUGUCUUCGGGCGGCCGCGCUGUGUUUGGA
Molecule: ribosomal RNA, 692 nt
Filed under: uncultured eukaryote
Lineage: Eukaryota
Description: SSU rRNA
Rfam family: Eukaryotic small subunit ribosomal RNA
Source: RNAcentral